Molecule: ribosomal RNA, 555 nt
Filed under: Charadrius morinellus (eurasian dotterel)
Lineage: Eukaryota; Metazoa; Chordata; Aves; Charadriiformes; Charadriidae
Description: partial 12S ribosomal RNA
Rfam family: Bacterial small subunit ribosomal RNA
Source: RNAcentral
UGAGGCUAAAAUGCAACUGAGCCGUCAUAAGCCCAAGAUGCACCUAAGACCGCCCUUAAAACGACCUCAGCACCCCAUGACUUAUUAUACCCCACGAAAGCUAAGGCCCAAACUGGGAUUAGAUACCCCACUAUGCUUAGCCCUAAAUCCUGAUGCUUCCCCCCACCAAAGCAUCCGCCCGAGAACUACGAGCACAAACGCUUAAAACUCUAAGGACUUGGCGGUGCCCCAAACCCACCUAGAGGAGCCUGUUCUAUAAUCGAUAACCCACGAUACACCCGACCACUUCUUGCCAAGGCAGCCUACAUACCGCCGUCGCCAGCUCACCUCAUCUGAAAGCAUAACAGUGAGCACAAUAGCCCUAAAUCCGCUAAUAAGACAGGUCAAGGUAUAGCCUAUGGAGUGGAAGAAAUGGGCUACAUUUUCUAGUAUAUAGAAAACUCACGGAAGAGAGUGUGAAAUCACUCCCUAGAAGGCGGAUUUAGCAGUAAAGUAGAAUAAUUAUGCCUACUUUAAGCCGGCUCUGGGGUACGUACAUACCGCCCGUCACCCUCC